RNAcentral lists this ribosomal RNA (287 nucleotides) under uncultured bacterium. RNAcentral's name for it is "partial 16S ribosomal RNA". It matches the Rfam family "Bacterial small subunit ribosomal RNA", at positions 59 to 339 of the family's 1533-position model. The record is from RNAcentral.
AAGUCGAGGGGCAGCAUGUUGGUUGCUUGCAACCAAUGAUGGCGACCGGCGCACGGGUGAGUAACGCGUAUCCAACCUGCCCUUCACAGGGGGAUAACCGGGAGAAAUUCCGACUAAUACCGCAUACGUCCUCCGGGGGCAUCCCCGGGGGAUGAAAGAAUUAUCGGUGAAGGAUGGGCAUGCGUGAUAUUAGGUAGUUGGCGGGGCAACGGCCCACCAAGCCCACGAUAUCUAGGGGUUCUGAGAGGAAGGUCCCCACAUUGGUACUGAGACACGGACCAAACUCC